This is a long non-coding RNA of Eriocheir sinensis (Chinese mitten crab), 6341 nucleotides long. RefSeq lists it as uncharacterized. The transcript is spliced from 4 exons. NCBI's taxonomy places the organism in Eukaryota, Metazoa, Arthropoda, Malacostraca, Decapoda, Varunidae. The record is from RefSeq and is a predicted model, not a curated record.
GAGGAAGUUAGUAGUGGUAGUGGUAUCAGAGCAAUACUGGAAUACUCUGGUGGUUCAUUGAGAUGUUGUUGAGGUUAUACUGGGGUGUAUUUGGGUAAUAUUGGGAUAAAUUUGGGAAUAAGAGGUAAUAUUGGGGCACACUAGGGUAAUAUCAGAGCAAUACUGGAAUACUCUGGUGUAAUACUUGCUCCACUAGGAUAUUGGUGAGGUAAUAUUGCAGUAUUUCAGGGUAAUUUUGGAGCAAUAUUGAAGUAAUAUUUGGUCACCUUGGGGGUACUACUGAGCUACACUGCUGUAAUAUUGCAUUCACUAGAGCAUCACUGAGGUAAUACUGGGACACCUUGAGGUAAUUUUGAGGGUAAUACUGGGUGCACUUUGGUAUCAGAGGUAAUAUUGGGAUGAAAAUGGGGUAACAGGCAUCCUAGAGGUAAUAUUGGGGUAUUACUGGGGCACACUGGGGUAAUAUUUGGGUCCACUGAGGCAUCAUCCUUCAGGUAAUAUUGGGGUAUUACUGGGGCACACUGGGGUAAUAUUUGGGUCCACUGAGGCAUCAUCCUUCAGGUAAUAUUGGGGUAUUACUGGGGCACACUGGGGUAAUAUUUGGGUCCACUGAGGCAUCAUCCUUCAGGUAAUAUUGGGGUAUUACUGGGGCACACUGGGGUAAUAUUUGGGUCCACUGAGGCAUCAUCCUUCAGGUAAUAUUGGGGUAUUACUGGGGCACACUGGGGUAAUAUUUGGGUCCACUGAGGCAUCAUCCUUCAGGUAAUAUUGGGGUAUUACUGGGGCACACCAGGGUAAUAUUUGAGUGGUGUAUUCCAGCAAGACACUCCACAUAUAUUCAUGACAUUUUAUUCAUAUUUCAUCUCAAUCUUUUUUUUUCUUUACAUUUAUUUUUCCUUCCCAGUUCUUCGGCCUCUCUCUCUCUCUCUCUCUCUCUCUCUCUCUCUCUCUCUCUCUCUCUCUCUCAUUUUAUCUCCAGUUUCCUUUCCAGUUGUUCUAUCUCCGCUGUGGAAGACGGUCACUGCUCUGCCCCUAAACCUGUCCACAGUGGUGUCCCUCUGUUCUAUCCCCCACUCUCUCUGUUGUUCGUUAAUGAUCUUUCUUCCCAAAAAAACUGUCCUAACCACCAGUGUCAGGACCCAGAAAACGAGGAAACAGAGGAGUGAGAUAUACAACUGUGUAAACACCUGACAGGACAAACACUAACAAAAAGGGUGACAUAUAUAUAAGUGUAAACAUCUCAAGUACAAAAGAGGGGAAACAACGAGGGUAAAGGAAAACAGAUACCCAGAGAGGAAAGGCAGGUAUACAACUGUGUAGACAUCUGACAGGACAAACACUAACAAAAAAAGUGACAUAUAUAACAGUGUAAGCAUCUCAAGUACCAAAGAGGGGAAACAACGAGGGUAAAGGAAAACAGAUACCCAGACUCAGAUACAGAAAACAGAUGCCCAGUGGGCGUGGUCAGAAAGUGUGAACAACCAUUGAAAAAGACUCUGACCCGUGACGUCAGUCGUGGCGAUAUGUUAUGAGCCAAUAAUUUAACAGAAAAAUCACUGAGGGAGUGUCUUAAGACUGACUCACGAAUAGCAGGAGAAGUAAAACAAUACAACAUAAUGAGCUAGCAGAUGGGUGUGACAGGAAGUAUUGGCCAUUGGUUAUGUAGAAAAUUAAGGGCGUGUCAAGGAUGUAAGUCCGCCUAAAGCAAAGAAAAAUGUGGCCUAGAAAUCAAUGGUAUGGGUAGACCGAGCUUGGUUCUCGCCUCAAGCAGACCUGCUACUCACUCAGCCGAGAAUGGCUGUUGUGAUCUUAAUCGUGAGUAGAAAUUCGAGAAUCUAGGGGAAACCGACUGUAUUGUCCUGGAGAUUAUAAUGUAGGAGAUGUGAAGUAGGAUUGUGAGUGGGACAGGAUUGUGAUUAUUUGUUUGCGAUGUAAAGCAAAGGUAAAACCACUGGGUGUGGUAAAAUAAUGUGUUUCCAUGACUUGUAGUAGAUUAUACUAUAGGAAUGUGUUAUUAGGAUUUUGUGAAGAGAGUACAUAAUGAUUGUGAUGUAAGCAGAGAGAUACAAACCACUGCUUGUGGAACGACGAGUGUUAUUAUUAUUGGCAACAACUGAGCACAUAUUGUAGUAUCAUGUUUAAGACAUGUCGUUUGUCAUAUGUUGCAUCCAUUGCUGAAUAUGCCAGUGUUAUGAUCGUCUGAGCAAAGAAUAUUGCGUAAGGCAAUUACUUUCAUUUAAUUUUAAAUAAAUGUAUAUUUACUUUUUCCCUUGUUUAUCCCCGAACACCAGUCUCCAAUAACAACUUAAGCCGGAUCACGCUACCAGGGAUACGAGACGGUGAGAUCAUUUAUGGAGUAAUUAAUGAGUGAUAAGAGUUGAUUUAAUACAAGAAAAGAAGGGUCCAAAACUGGCGGCAGCGGUAUAGGGAUAAAUAGGGACAUGUGCUUACAGUGCUUUUGUUUAAUUUACUCUGACGAGAAAACGCCUCUUAUUUUCAUCAAGCUUUGCUCGUUUUAAGUGGCGGAAAUAAUAGUGACGAUUUAAUUAUAUAAUUAAUGGUUCUUCCGGAGGACAUGGACUUUGACGAUAUGGUAAUGGAAACUCUGGCCAACCACUGUUGUUCUGUAGUGCAAUGGGUAGCACACGCGACUCAACCGAGACUUCAUGAGUUCCUUUCCGGGAGGAGUGGAGAGGGAUGGGCAGUCUCUCUCCACCCGCGCCGCGAUCCAUUCAUCAGUGAGAGGGUGUCAGGUGACAGGCAGCGGCAGCGUCCUGCCUCUCAGGUUUGUUUGUUUUAGGAUUGUUACCCCAGGAUGGAGGGGAACACGGGGCUCUACGCCUCACAGGGAGGUGGUGUGCCGCGGCGGGCAUGCAGCCAUAGAGUGACUUUAUAAAGGCCUAACCCGCGUCCCCCAGGUAGGAAGUGUAGAGUAUGAUCUAGAAAAAAUGUGAAAUACUAAGAAAAGUGUGAGGUAUGGAUAAAAAGUCAUGAAUAAAAAAAUAAAAAAAUGAAGCAUAUGGACAAUAGUGUGAAGUAUUAAGAUAAAUGUGUGAAGUAAGAGAAUCAGAGGAAGAGGAGGCCAGGGUAGUGCCCCCCUCAGUUAUCUACUACAAAUAACAUUAAAUAAACAAAUGAAAAUAAAUAAAUAAAUAAAUAAAUAUGCACACUUGCAGUGGAAAAAACGGAAAAUGAGCGAAGAACAAAACAGGGAGUAACCUUUAAUAUAAUAAGAUGAAGGCUAUAACGAAGAAGGGAGUAACCUUUAAUAUAAUAAGAUGAAGGCUAUAACGAAGAAGGGAGUAACCUUUAAUAUAAUAAGAUGAAGGCUAUAACGAACAAGGGAGUAACCUUUAAUAUAAUAAGAUGAAGGCUAUAACGAACAAGGGAGUAACCUUUAAUAUAAUAAGAUGAAGGCUAUAACGAACAAGGGAGUAACCUUUAAUAUAAUAAGAUGAAGGCUAUAACGAACAAGGGAGUAACCGCCUCACAUAAAUAUAAGGAAAAGAAGGCUAUAACGAACAAGGGAGUGACCUUAAAAAUAAUGAAAAGAAGGCUAUAAUCAACAUAACUCAAGAGUAACUUUGGUAGGCAGAUCGCACUACUCAUGAUAAUACAUAUGCAAAAGUGGCAGCACUCCUAGAAACAGGAGCGUGUGUGAGUUUUAACGGAUGAAUUUAUUAAAGAAUUAGGGCUCGCAGUAAAUGAAUGUGAAGCGAAACCCGUGAAUAUUGUCUCUGUGCAAAGAUACCAUAUUGAAAAUGACGGUAAAAGACAAGUUAAUAUGGAAGGAAAAAGUAGUUUCCAAGACUUAUUGAUAACACGCGAUGUAGAUUUGCCGACUCAUAUUAUGUUGAGUACUGAUUUGUCGUGUAGCACGAGAUUAUUUUGAAAACAUUGCAACUAAAUGAGGAACAAAAGAACGAAGCUUAAAACUGAUAAUAGAAGGGGAAACCAUACAAUUAUGCCAGGAAAAAUGUCUUAUAUCUAGAGGUGAAGGAUCUUAGCUAAAUGUAGAUGGAAAUGAAGAAGGUCUCACUGAAAAUAAGGCCGUACGUUGCCAAGCAGCGGAACCUUUGCAACUGCAUGCAUCUGUUGCAGGUUACAUAACGAUAGUGACGCAACUACAGGCAAGUGAAGCUUUAUUUGAGCCUUGUGUUAGUACUCCUCAGGCUAGAGUCUUGUGCUCAGGGAUAGUUAAGUUAACCCCUUCAUCUGACAAUCAAAGAUCUUAUGUCACUGUGCCGUAUUUGAAUAUUGAAAGUGAGUGUAAAGCUAGAUGAUAAUACAACGUUAGGAUUUGUGAAGCCUGUCACUCAUGAGCUAUACGCUGAUCUGCCACAAGUAUCUAGUGUACAGACCGCUGACACAGCUAAAACAGACUUGAAGCCCGCAGAGCUUGAAGUAAGGAAGAAAAGCCUCUAUCAAAUUGUUGACGCUAAAUUCCCAAGUGAAGAGAGAGAAUCAGGCUUUAAAGUCCUUAAUAGAUAAAUAUAUAACAGUGUCUUCCACAGAACAAGAACCAUUAACAGUAACGCCCUAUUUUUUUAAGCACCAUCAAGCAAAACACUGAUGAAGUAGUGUACAGGCGUUCAUAUAACAUUCAUAUCAGUUAUCAUGACAGAGUAAAUAAACAACUUAUAUCGCUCCAGCAACAGGGUGUGAUUCGCCCUUCGCGAUCACCCUAUAAUGCCCCACUUAUCCCAGUGCAAAAAAACAUGGAGUACUACGACUUUGUCUGGACUUCCGGGCACUUAAUAAAACACUACGGGACGACCGGUACCCACUCCCUAAUAUAAUUACCAUACUCAAUCAAUUGGGAGAUAGUAAGUUUUUUUUUCAUGCCUAGACUUGAAACAGGGUUACCAUCAAAUCCCCCAAGAUGAAAUCAGCAGAGAGAAGAUGGCAUUUUCUUCUCCAGCAGGACAUUGGGAAUUUACUUCCCUCCCCUUUGGCCUUAAAACAGCCCCGUCCUGUUUCAAGAAAAUAAUAAACACUGUCCUUACAGGACUAUUAAGCAACAAGGUUCAGGUGUACCUUGAUGACAUAAUUAUCCUGGGCGAUAUAUUUUCUAAUCACGCAGAUAACUUAGAACAAAUUCUGGAUCGCUUAAAGGAAGCCAAACUGACUCUUAAGAUGGAAAAGUGUAACUUUUUUAAGGACAAAGUAGAUUACCUGGGCCAUGCCAUCCGCUCAGAGGGAAUAAGACCUCAAUCUAGCAAGCUGGAGGCCAUACAAAACGUCCUGGCCCCCCAAACUGUUCAUGAUUUACAGUCAUUUCUUGGAUUGACUAAUUAUUAUCGCAAAUAUUGCAAAUUAUUCACAAAUUGUUGCUCCUUUUCUAAAGAUUUACAAAGGGAAGAAAGGUACACAAAAAAUAAAUAAAUAAAUAAAUAAAUAAAUAAAUAAUUAAAACUCCACUCAUAUGGACGGAUGAAACAAAAAUUGCGUUCUCAACCCUUAAGGAUAGAAUGCUUGGUACAGUCACUCUACGCGUCCUACUACAAUACUGGUGGAGUAUUGCAAUAACAGGAUAAUGAUGAUAAACUAAGACCUGUAUCUUUUUUUGUGAGAAACUGAAUACGGCAGAACAGCGGUACAGUAUAGUUGAACGAGAGGCUUUAACUGUAAUUUAUGGGUUACACGUAAACCGCCCAUUAAUACUGGAUUACCCUGUUGAGAUCCACACGGGUCACAGACCUUUAGUCUGGUUGUUACAGGUAGCUAGUCCCAACGGCAGGAUAGCUAGAUGGCAGACUCUCAUGAGUGAGUAUGGUUUCACAAUCAAUCAUUUGCCUGGCAAGGAAAAUAUAGUAGCAGAUUUUUUUUAUCAAGGAUGAAGGCUCACAGGACACUGAGAUUGAAUUAGAAGGACACGCGCGAUAAUGUUUGUGGAUGGGGAACAACAAAAACCGUGGAACACGUGGAUAAUGAGGGGCAAGGUAUUCCACUAGUGCAGAAAAAGAAACAGGCGCCGAAAAAUUAGAAAAUAAAAUACAUGAUAUGUAUGGACCUGAAUAGUGAGUGUAUUGGCCACACACUUGACUGGAGUAUUCAGGAGAUUAGUGAGCUGCAUGAUGAGCAGCCAGCAUAUAAGUAUGCUAAAAGAAGGAAGCCCCAAGAAUGAAAAUUGAGCAAAGACUCAGAGAAAAAAAGGCAUAAUGUGAGAUGCCGCCCCUGUUAGAGGUACAGGUGGAAAUUAUGUUAUAUUGUGUUGAAGAUGGGCAUAAUGUGAGAUGCCGCCCCUGUCAGAGUUACAGGUGGAAAUAAAUGAUGUGUUUUAGUGAGUCCGUACGGAGAAGCCACUAAGGUGGUGAUUCUACCCCCCAAGUAUUUCCAAG